RNAcentral lists this transfer RNA (72 nucleotides) under Bos taurus (domestic cattle). It matches the Rfam family "tRNA". From Rfam's summary of the family: Transfer RNA (tRNA) molecules are approximately 80 nucleotides in length. Their secondary structure includes four short double-helical elements and three loops (D, anti-codon, and T loops). RNAcentral also lists the same sequence under 1 other name. Lineage: Eukaryota; Metazoa; Chordata; Mammalia; Artiodactyla; Bovidae. The record is from Rfam by way of RNAcentral.
UCCCUGGUAGCUCAGUUGGUAAAUAAUCUGCCUGCAAUGCAGAAGAUCCAAGUUCGAUUCCUGGGUUGGGAA